RNAcentral lists this unclassified non-coding RNA (335 nucleotides) under uncultured fungus. Its description in RNAcentral is "sequence contains ITS1". The stretch from base 1 to 118 matches the Rfam family "5.8S ribosomal RNA", at positions 50 to 154 of the family's 154-position model. The record is from RNAcentral. Lineage: Eukaryota; Fungi.
AAACUGCGUGAAGUUAUGUGAACUGCAGGACACAUGAACAUCAACAUUUUGAACGCACAUUGCGGUCCAUGCUAAUAGUAUAUAAUACUCUGCUUGGACCACAUAUGGUUGAGGGUCACUAAUAUAUGCCAAAUAAAUUAUUAAUUAAAAAUUUUUGAUAUGUAAAUAAUUAUUUUAUUUACAAUAUUGUAUUAAACAACAUUUGUGUAAUAAUAAAUUGGUAAAAGACGCAGGUCAUUUAUAUAAUAAUUUAUGAUGUAGUUUUUACUUCCAAUUUUAUAAUUAUUAACAAUAAUUGUGACUUCAACUCAUAUGUGAUUACCUCCUGAAUUUAA